RNAcentral lists this unclassified non-coding RNA (219 nucleotides) under Hevea brasiliensis (rubber tree). Lineage: Eukaryota; Viridiplantae; Streptophyta; Magnoliopsida; Malpighiales; Euphorbiaceae. The record is from RNAcentral.
GGAACAUAUUCACUAUGUUUUGUAUAAAACUAAUUAGAUCAUUGAAUAUUAACAUUUCUUAGCAUUCUCGAAGAACCUACUUUGCAAAAUGGAUUAUUAACUUUUACCAACCUGUAUAGGGUUGACUUUCCUUUAGUGAGAUUGAGUUUUAAUGUAACUUGUCUUGACAUGAAUUAUGUAAAGGGUUUAUCAAAAGGGUUGACUAAAGUCAGUAGGCCG